ACUUGAAUGAGAUUUUUUUAGCUCUUUGGAUCUCUCAACAACAUCCUGCUGCUUACAAGUUUGGACUGAUUCACUGUGUUUUUUAUUCAACAGCAUCUUCCCAUUAUUGGCUUUGGUACCUGCCAAUUGUGCUCAAAGAAGACCUAAUAAUAUUAUCAAAGAACACAGUAGUUAUCAAAGAGCACAGUAGUAAAGCAUUUAACAAGGAAGUUAAGUUCUUCCUUACCAGUGAUGUAUUUAAGUCCAGAGCCAGCUUCGAAUCACGGACCUCCAGUUCAAAAACCAGAACUCUAUGCACUACAUUACGGCUGCUAAAUUUAUUGAAAGAUGUAUUUAAAAUUUAUUAAAAGAUGUAUUUAACGUUUAUUGAGCAAAAGCAGUAAUAAAUUUUUAUAACUAUAAUUUCAUCAAA
Non-coding RNA from Hydra vulgaris (swiftwater hydra), 412 nucleotides. NCBI's taxonomy places the organism in Eukaryota, Metazoa, Cnidaria, Hydrozoa, Anthoathecata, Hydridae. The record is from RefSeq and is a predicted model, not a curated record.